GUGCUCGCUUCGGCAGCACAUAUACUAAAAUUGCAACAAUACAGAGAAGAUUAGCAUGGCCCCUGCACAAGGAUGACACACAAAUUCAUGGAGUGUUUCAUAUUUUU
RNAcentral lists this small nuclear RNA (107 nucleotides) under Catagonus wagneri (Chacoan peccary). Lineage: Eukaryota; Metazoa; Chordata; Mammalia; Artiodactyla; Tayassuidae. The record is from RNAcentral.